Molecule: ribosomal RNA, 685 nt
Filed under: uncultured bacterium
Lineage: Bacteria
Description: bacterial SSU rRNA
Rfam family: Bacterial small subunit ribosomal RNA
Source: RNAcentral
AGAUUAGAGUUUGAUCAUGGCUCAGGACGAACGCUGGCGGCGGGCUUAACACAUGCAAGUCGAAGGAGAAGGUAGAAGCUUGCUUUUACUGGAGACUGGCGGACGGGUGAGUAACGCGUAGAUAACCUGCCUAUAGCUGGGGGAUAACACUGCGAAAGUGGUGCUAAUACCGCAUAAUGCAGCGGGGCCGCAUGGCCAUAGUUGUUAAAGGUUUCGACCGGCUAUAGAUGGGUCUGCGUGCUAUUAGUUAGUUGGUAGGGUAACGGCCUACCAAGGCGAUGAUAGCUAGGGGGUCUGAGAGGAUGAUCCCCCACACUGGGACUGAGACACGGCCCAGACUCCUACGGGAGGCAGCAGUGAGGAAUCUUGCGCAAUGGGCGAAAGCCUGACGCAGCCACGCCGCGUGCCGGAUGAAGGCCCUAUGGGUUGUAAACGGCUUUUACUAGGGAAGAACGAGAGGGUUUCGAUCUUCUGUGACGGUACCUAGUGAAUAAGCACCGGCUAACUCCGUGCCAGCAGCCGCGGUAAUACGGAGGGUGCAAGCGUUGUCCGGAAUCAUUGGGUGUAAAGGGUACGUAGGCGGGAGCCUAAGUCUGGGGUGAAAUCUUGCCGCUUAACGGUAAAAUGGCCCUGGAUACUGGGUUUCUUGAGUGCAGAAGAGGCAGGUGGAAUUCGUGGUGUAGCG